RNAcentral lists this long non-coding RNA (426 nucleotides) under Equus asinus (donkey). RNAcentral describes it as "lncRNA (ENSEASG00005036711.1)". The record is from RNAcentral. Lineage: Eukaryota; Metazoa; Chordata; Mammalia; Perissodactyla; Equidae.
AUCUGCCCACUUCGGCAGUCACACAUCUGCUAGCUGAUCUCCUGAAAAUGCAGUUUGACCACGUUCAUUCCAAAACUACAGGACAUCCACCACGUGCCAGGGCCCGGAGGUCAACUAUCCCCAGGUCAAAGGGAGACAAUGGGAGAGAGCCACUAUUGCCUGACAACAUCUACUAUCAGAACACAGGAAUUCGUAAUCGCACUGGUUAAGAAUUUAUAGAAUAGUUAAUAAAGAAUAUUAUGGGGUAGUGCUUCCACUAAGGCGAUAACCAAAAGUCAACUCUGAUCUGGAAAUGAGAACAGCCAACACAUCGGAAAGAAGGGCAAAAAGCCAAGCAGAAAGCGAGAAGGAGCCGAGAGAACACCCUUGGACAGCGGGAUACGGUCCCGGGCACUGGCACCCUGAGAUUCUAAAGAUGGGCUCAUU